This is a long non-coding RNA of Scylla paramamosain (green mud crab), 2127 nucleotides long. RefSeq lists it as uncharacterized. Lineage: Eukaryota; Metazoa; Arthropoda; Malacostraca; Decapoda; Portunidae. The transcript is spliced from 2 exons. The record is from RefSeq and is a predicted model, not a curated record.
UAGUACACAUCGGGCAUUUCAUCUUAAACGUAAAAGAAAUCAGUGGAUAAACAGAAAAACUGCAGCACAUCUUUUAGCCCUCAUAAGACAGUUUGUGAUAAGUUACAGUAUUUAAUCCAAGCUAAGGGGUGCAAUGGAGCAAAGGCGAAUGUUGCUCCUUAUCCAUUGUCAUCAACUGCUUCCUCUAGACAGGAAAAGAUAAUAGACCAUGCACAGUGGGACAAUUACAGAGAUCUUUUUUCUUUAUAGGUACGGAAUAGUAUGUGUGGCCACUACUGCGACUGCUUAACUAGCAAAAGAAGAAAACUGAAGACCAGAUUUCCAGCACACGAGUCACCAGCAGAGGGGCGCGAUGGUGAUGAAGCAAGAGUUGAUCCGCUGAGAAAUGACGGUGGUGGGGCGGUGAGACAGGUUCUGUUCGUUAUGGAUUGAGGUAAAAAGUAGACAGCGAUAAUGGCAAGGACAAUGUGAUUUACAAAGCCGAGCAGUAAAAGGGAGCCACUCUAUUCAAUGAGAGAAACAAAGAAACGCUUUGUUCGUCGAUUGUUGACUGCUGACUCUGGUGUAAGGAAAGUCUGGCGGGAACAAAGGGAUCGCCACUGGACCGACGCCUCCCUUCCAUUUCUCGUCCCCUGUGCCCCGACGAAGCCGCUAAGUGCUCUGCUUGGUGUCUUCUUUGGUGGCCGCGCGACCUGGCACGCUGCGUAUAGUCUGAUCAGCCUUUGUGUCUUGAAGAGGACGCCAGAGCUUCUUUAUCUCUUGGAUGCUUUUAUGACAUGCUAUUUCGAUUAAUUACUACACAUUGGAAAUACACACACACACACACACACACACACACACACACACACACACACACUAGGAAAAAUGAUAAUAGUUCCGGUAAAUAGCUUUAUACUGAAUACUGAAUACUAAUUAGGAACUUAUGUACGCUUCGUAUUACCAUAAAAAUUAUUUUAUACAUAUACACCUCAUUAUUUUUCCAAGCAGAAUGUGAAACGGUAGCAGACUAUUUUCAUAACCUAUAUGAAGGAGGAGGCAGACGCAAGGAUGACCUCCAUAAACAAAGAACAAAAUCGGGUUUAACCAAGGACUAAAGAAUCGGUGCCAGAGUACAAAACAAUUCCUGAGAUAAGGCGCCCCGAUACUUUGCUUCUUGAGUCACAUUCCGCUCUUUGUACAAUCCUUUUUUAUAUUCCCCCCAGGCGGCCCACACGUCUAGUCCCUCAGCCUCUAUCUGCCGCCACAACAGCUCUAUGGCCCCCCAUCGCGACAGUCGCCCUUUCCAGCCAUGACAGCACGAGUGACCAUUCCAGCUGUGGCAGUAGGGCAGCGGAAGCCACACCCGCCCACAGCCUUGCGUCACACCAACACAAGCGUAGGGGAGGUAGGAGCGGCGCAGCGUAGCAAGAACGUGCCACAACUCGUCGCUAAGGCAAAGACUUCAGCGGGACUCAAGCAAGAACCCAACAAGGCGAGGCUAAUGAGCGGACCAAGACGAUACUGUGAUUACGUUCUUGGAAGCGCAGCUGAGGAAAGGCGUGGGUUAUGUGGCGUGGGAUGAGAUGAAGGGAUGUUACGGGAUGGGGUAAUGUUCGUGGGGGGAUUGGGGUAAUGUUAGGGGAAGGAUCAGGAUAGAAGAUGGGUAAAGAUUUUUUUGAAAGUAGCGAACUGUGUGUCUGCUGUUAGAGUGGAAAAGGAGAGAUGCGCUGGAUAAGAGAGUUAAGUAAGAUGGAGGCAAUAAAUGAAAGGAUAAACACUAAGGAUAGGGAAAUGUGAAGGAAAGGAAAACACGUUAAAGUAUAUAAGAGAUAUGAAGGUGUGAAAGAUGAGAAGUCUGUUUAUUGAGGUAGAGAAGAGGCUAAGGCUAGUGAAAUAUGAGGAAGAGCCAGUGUUGAUUAAGCAGAGAAGGGACGGUUAGACAGGUAAGUGAUUAAUUAAAGUGAAUCCGAAUUAAGUGAUUAAAACUGUGACUCAGAGACGUCAUCGCUUUCAUUUACGCAUCUCCUCUUCCUCAUUAGUACCGCGCCACAAUGAUGACUCAACAGCUUCGGGUUGAAUUGAUGUGAAAUUUAGUGAAACUGUAGUGGAAAAAAAAAUAAAUAAAUAUCACGUACUAUGUGAAAAUAA